This 570-nucleotide ribosomal RNA is filed under the name uncultured bacterium. RNAcentral's name for it is "bacterial SSU rRNA". It matches the Rfam family "Bacterial small subunit ribosomal RNA", at positions 24 to 561 of the family's 1533-position model. The record is from RNAcentral.
UCAGGACGAACGCAGGCGGCGUGCUUAACACAUGCAAGUCGAACGGUCUACCUCGACAGAAACCUUCGGGUUGAAGACGAGAUCUAGAUAGUGGCGGACGGGUGAGUAACACGUGAAUAAUCUAUCCUCAAGUUUGGGAUAACCUGGCGAAAGUCGGGCUAAUCCGAGGUAAGCUGAGAGUGUGGCAUCACACAAUCAGAAAAGGUGGCAUUGCCAUCGUUUGAGGAGGAGUUCGCGGUAGAUUAGCUAGCUGGUGAGGUAACGGCUCACCAGGGCAACAAUCUAUAGCUGGUCUGAGAGGACGAUCAGUCACACUGGAACUGAGACACGGUCCAGACUCCUACGGGAGGCAGCAGUGGGGAAUCUUCCACAAUGGGCGCAAGCCUGAUGGAGCAACGCCGCGUGAAUGAAGAAGGCCUUAGGGUCGUAAAGUUCUGUCCUUAGGGAAGAACCGUGGGUAUAGCAAAUGAUACCCACCUGACGGUACCUUUGGAGGAAGCACUGGCUAACUACGUGCCAGCAGCCGCGGUAAUACGUAGAGUGCAAGCGUUGUCCGGAAUUAUUGGGCGU